GGGUUUGGACAAGAGCUGUGAUAUCUGCCGCCCAGUGGGUCACCAGGGUUGACGCAGCUGCUCCAGGGGGCCUAGUUGCUUGAUCCCCUCUCUUCACCACCACUCUGUGUAUUCCUCACCUGAAGCAGCAUGCUAAACAAGGAAGUUAACCUAACACUACAGAGAGGGGCCAUCUUCUGUCAAUAGUACAUGAGUAUUCUCCUUCUCGAACCGGCUAACCAUCUCUCAAAAGCCCAACAUGGCAUGGUUGCUUGGUGGAGUGGGGUUACCUUAGAUUCCUUUAUCAACCUGUUAGUUUCCUCAUGGCAACUAAAAUCA
Molecule: small nuclear RNA, 318 nt
Filed under: Microtus ochrogaster (prairie vole)
Lineage: Eukaryota; Metazoa; Chordata; Mammalia; Rodentia; Cricetidae
Description: 7SK RNA (ENSMOCG00000009113.1)
Rfam family: 7SK RNA
About the family: 7SK was discovered as an abundant small nuclear RNA in the mid-70s but a possible function has only recently been suggested.
Source: RNAcentral